AGACGUAGGGGGCAAGCGUUGUCCGGAAUUACUGGGCGUAAAGGGUGCGUAGGCGGCAUUACAAGUCUAAUGUGAAAUCCCCGUGCUUAACAUGGGGUCUGCAAUAGAAACUGUAAAGCUAGAGUGCAGGAGAGGUAAGUGGAAUUCCGAGUGUAGAGGUGAAAUUCGUAGAUAUUCGGAGGAACACCAGUGGCGAAGGCGGCUUACUGGUCCAUUACUGACGCUGAGGUGCGAAAGCGUGGGGAGC
Molecule: ribosomal RNA, 247 nt
Filed under: uncultured bacterium
Lineage: Bacteria
Description: partial 16S ribosomal RNA
Rfam family: Bacterial small subunit ribosomal RNA
Source: RNAcentral